RNAcentral lists this transfer RNA (71 nucleotides) under Ipomoea nil (Japanese morning glory). It matches the Rfam family "tRNA". From Rfam's summary of the family: Transfer RNA (tRNA) molecules are approximately 80 nucleotides in length. Their secondary structure includes four short double-helical elements and three loops (D, anti-codon, and T loops). Lineage: Eukaryota; Viridiplantae; Streptophyta; Magnoliopsida; Solanales; Convolvulaceae. The record is from Rfam by way of RNAcentral.
GCACUAGUGGUCUAGUGGUAGAAUAGUACCCUGCCACGUUACAGACCCGGGUUUGAAACCCGACUGGUGCA